AAGGAUCAUUAUCGAGUUUUGAACGGGUUGUCUGCUGGCUCGCAAGGGCAUGUGCACGCCUGUCUCAUCCACUCUCAACUUCUGUGCACUUUUCAUAGGCCGGCUUGUGGGUGCGUUCGCGCACUUGUAGGUGUCGGGCUUAUGCUUUACUACAAACGAUUCAGUUUUAGAAUGUCAUACUUUGCUAUAACGCAAUUUAUAUACAACUUUCAGCAACGGAUCUCUUGGCUCUCGCAUCGAUGAAGAACGCAGCGAAAUGCGAUAAGUAAUGUGAAUUGCAGAAUUCAGUGAAUCAUCGAAUCUUUGAACGCACCUUGCGCUCCUUGGUAUUCCGAGGAGCAUGCCUGUUUGAGUCUCAUGGAAUUCUCAACCUUCGGCUUUAUUGACGAAGGCUUGGACUUGGAGGUCGUGCCGGCUCUCGUAGUCGGCUCCUCUGAAAUGCAUUAGUGCGAACGUUACCAGCCGCUUCAGCGUGAUAAUUAUCUGCGUUGCUGUGGAGGGUAUUCUAGUGUUCGCGCUUCUAACCGUCUUCGGACAAAUUUCUGAACUCUGAGC
Molecule: ribosomal RNA, 555 nt
Filed under: Agaricomycetes sp. FSU6258
Lineage: Eukaryota; Fungi; Basidiomycota; Agaricomycetes
Description: eukaryotic LSU rRNA
Rfam family: 5.8S ribosomal RNA (bases 205-358)
Source: RNAcentral